Xenopus laevis (African clawed frog) is the source of this 658-nucleotide long non-coding RNA. RefSeq lists it as uncharacterized. NCBI's taxonomy places the organism in Eukaryota, Metazoa, Chordata, Amphibia, Anura, Pipidae. The record is from RefSeq and is a predicted model, not a curated record. The transcript is spliced from 6 exons.
UGAUGAUGAUGAUGAUGAUGAUGAUGAUGAUGAUGAAGAUGAUGAUGAAGAGUACAAAGAGGGCUCCCUCUGCAAAUACUGUUCCUUCUGCAAGCACUGCGAUGAGUGUGACAAAUGCCCCUGUGAGGAGAAGGAUAAGAGCGAACACUGCAAGAACUGCGAGUACUGCAAGUUCUGUUAUGUUUGCCCAGUCAUAUGCGAGACAGCCUGCAAACCAGGGAGCUACGUAGAUGAACUGUCAGGAUCUCUGUAUCAGUCUGUCGCCCAGAUAUUUGAAUAAAUGUGCCCUGGAACAGACCGCCAGGCACCAAAUGUAAUUUAUAUGAGUACUUUGGAUAAGCAGACUCUGAUAUUUCUCACAUUUAAAAGACAAACGUCAAACAUGGACUGACCACCUGAUGGACCUAAACCUCUUUCUUUCCUCUUUGAGGCAAUCCUGUCAAGUCAAGGUUUGAUGGGCGGGUGGUGGCACCUACUGGCAUUUGAGGGGGUUCUAGUUUUCUCUACCCAACUCCACAAUCAAAUGAACACUUAAUAUUGUACUUUGCUAAUUGUCAGCCAGAUUGUCACCUAACACCACCUAAUUCAUUCUGUUCUUUCUAGCAUCUUCUACCUCCUAGGUAAAUAAAGAUCUCCUGAUCACUCACCAAAACAUAAA